Molecule: ribosomal RNA, 468 nt
Filed under: uncultured bacterium
Lineage: Bacteria
Description: partial 16S ribosomal RNA
Rfam family: Bacterial small subunit ribosomal RNA
Source: RNAcentral
GACGAACGCUGGCGGUGUGCUUAACACAUGCAAGUCGAACGGUAAGGCCCUUUCGGGGGUACACGAGUGGCGAACGGGUGAGUAACACGUGAGUAACCUGCCCUCAUCUCUGGGAUAACAGUCGGAAACGGUUGCUAAUACUGGAUAUGAGCUUGCAAGGCAUCUUGUGGGUUGGAAAGAUUUUUUUUGGUUGGGGAUGGACUCGCGGCCUAUCAGCUUGUUGGUGAGGCAGUGGCUCACCAAGGCUUCGACGGGUAGCCGGCCUGAGAGGGCGACCGGCCACAUUGGGACUGAGAUACGGCCCAAACUCCUACGGGAGGCAGCAGUGGGGAAUAUUGCACAAUGGACGGAAGUCUGAUGCAGCAACGCCGCGUGCGGGAUGACGGCCUUCGGGUUGUAAACCGCUUUCAAUUGUGACGAAGCUUUUUUGUGACGGUAGCAGUAGAAGAAGCACCGGCUAACUACGUG